RNAcentral lists this long non-coding RNA (1073 nucleotides) under Serinus canaria (Common canary). Its description in RNAcentral is "lncRNA (ENSSCAG00000001871.1)". Lineage: Eukaryota; Metazoa; Chordata; Aves; Passeriformes; Fringillidae. The record is from RNAcentral.
CAGUCGGACGACCCGCGGAUCAUCUUCGAGAACACGCGCAAGGAGAUGUCCUUCAUCCGUGUCCUCAUCCAGCACCUGGACACCAGCUUCAUGGAGGGCGUCCUAUAGCGGCUGCCACCGCGCCGUCCCCACCCCGCCACCCCGUCCCCUCCGAGGGUCAAAGUCCCCAGGUGGUGGCACAAUCUCCACCAAGAACCAGGAGGUCCGUGAGGUUCUCCACCACGUGGUGAGCUCCAUCUCCACCAAGAACCUGGAGGUCCAUGAGGUUCUCCACCACGUGGGGAGCUCCAUCUCCACAAGAACCUGGAGCUCCAUGAGGUUCUCCAGCUUCACCACGUGGUGAGCUCCAUCUCCAGCGGGGCCUCAUGGACAGAGAGCAUCCAGGGAUUGUCUCUGUCCUUUCCUGCCAGACAAGGAGAAGUCCUUGAGGUCCAUCCCGACCUUCUGGCUGUGUCACUGCCUGGUUCUUCUCUGGGGGAGCCACAAGGAACAUCCCAGCUCUGAGGGGUCUCCAUGGGGUUGGGAAGGUGGGAGAAGUUCAUCUGGCCACCAGGGGACUACCGUGACAAUUGUCCCCCACAGGAAAGAGACCUGGGAGGUCCCCGUGGGAGUGGUGGCCCAGGGGGGGGUCAUGGUGGCUGAUUGUCCAUCCUGGAAGAGCUGGGUGGGGUGGAUGUCCCCAUGUGUCACCACUUCCAUCCUGUCCCACACAUGUUGGUACCACCAGGACCUGUCCCAGAACCCACCGGGUCUGCCCGACCCUGUUGGACCUGUCCCAGGACCUCCCAUCUGCUCCUGGUUCUUCUGGGCCCAUCUUGGGGUCCACCAUCAUCUCCUGGAGCCAUCUUGGGGUCCAGCAUCUUCUUCUGGAGCCAUCUUGGGGUUCAUCAUCUUCUCCUGGAGCCAUCCAGGUGUCCAUCAUCAUCUCCAGGUCCUCCAAGACCCAUCCUGGUGUCUCUCAUCUCCUCCAGCUUCUCCUGGACCCAUCCUGGUGUCCAUCAUCUCCAGCUUCUCCAAGACCCAUCCUGGUGUCUGUCAUCUCCUCCAGCUUCUCCUGGACCCAACCUGACGUC